UCCACUUACUACUGUAAGUCGCUCUGGAUAAGAGCGUCUGUUAAAUCACUCAAA
Non-coding RNA from Salmo salar (Atlantic salmon), 54 nucleotides. The record is from Rfam. Lineage: Eukaryota; Metazoa; Chordata; Actinopteri; Salmoniformes; Salmonidae.